Molecule: long non-coding RNA, 199 nt
Filed under: Elaeis guineensis (African oil palm)
Lineage: Eukaryota; Viridiplantae; Streptophyta; Magnoliopsida; Arecales; Arecaceae
Description: long non-coding RNA (EGUI_LNC061448)
Source: RNAcentral
GCACCGAACCACUAUAAAUCCUUGUGUUUGUGGUGUGCUUUAUUGUUUCUCUUUAUUUCUUUAUUAUAUCCUUACAUUCUUGCUUUAGGAAAUUAAUCUUGAUUUAAAGUCUUUCUUCUCAUUCAUCAAGCUUUUAACAAAUACCUUUCAUAAGUAAUUAGUUGAGCUUAAAAUUUUUAGAAACCCAAUUCACCCCCCC